RNAcentral lists this transfer RNA (61 nucleotides) under Lernaea cyprinacea. RNAcentral's name for it is "tRNA-Asp". Lineage: Eukaryota; Metazoa; Arthropoda; Copepoda; Cyclopoida; Lernaeidae. The record is from RNAcentral.
ACAUAAUUAGUUUAGUAAAAAAUAUAAGGUUGUCAAUCUUAAGAUCAUUUGUGAUUAUGUA